CUCUCGGUUCCGGCAUGGCAGUGGGGAAGAGUACGGAAACCAGGCCGAGGCAUCAGAGCAGGUGUCUGCCGAGCGCUCCCUGCUCGCUCAGCAAAAGGCGAAGCAGCCACAUGCGUCUGUCACUUAACCUUGGGGGCAACUUGCCAAGGAGGUGGUGUCAUUGAACCAUUUUCCAGACGAGGAAGCUGAGGGAGAGGUGGCUUGCCCGAGGUCACACAGCUAGUGGGAGCCAGAGCAGAGGCUCAACCCAGGCCGCCUGAGCUGCAGUGCCUCUGAAGCCAGGAAAUCGUACGUACAGAAGGCGGCGCGGAGGCGGCAGCGGGCAGGUUUUUAAGAUGGCUGCCAGGGGUACACCCUUACAGGUCUCGUCCCUUCAAGUGGGCGGGACUCAGAGUAUGAUGAGACGUCACUCCGUGGAUAGGUUACAUGCGACGGCAAGGUGAAGUGACCCGGCAGAUGUGACCGAAGUCUCUACUUGGCGGCCUUUAAGUUCGUUAAAAGGGAGAUGGUUCUGGGGGGGCCUGACCUAAUCAGGUGAGCGCUUUAGCUGAAAAGCCUAGAAGUCAGAGAAGAAAAAAGUCAGAGAGAUUUGAAGCAGCAGAUACUCCUCUGUUGACCUUGAGAAAAUAAGCUGCCAUAUUGUGGGGGGGGGGGGAAUCACAUGGAAAGGAAGGGCAGGUGACCCCUAGGGGUUGAGGGUCUUAGUCCUACAACUGCAAGUUGCUGAAUUCGUAUGACAACCAGUGCAUUGGGAAGAGGGACCCUGAGUUUAUGACGCGAGAGCUAUUGUGCGAGGUCAUAAAGAGCAUGUGGUCACCAGUUGACCUUCAGGCUGGUCAGCCAAUGGACACUCAUCACUCCCUCCCCCGUCCUUGGACGGUACAUUCUGCUUGCCUCCCCCAUUCCCAGAGGCUGCCCCAAAGAUACAGCCUUGAGAUAGCUUGUGUUGACAGCCUGUGGCUGGUAUGUGUGAUUGAACCCAGUUAAGGCCUCUAUAUAAAGCUUUGAGAUUUGGUGGGGGAGUGGGGAGAUCCGCUCGUCUCGGGGUGCCCCCUUGCUCAUUGGAACUGCCACCCACCAAUCUGGGGUGGUAUCCUUGUUUCUUCGCCCUCUCCGUGCCCUUCAAGUGUGGGGGCCAGAUUCAGAUGGCAUCCGAGGAGCUCCCAGCCCUGGCUGCCACCUUGAUUUCAGCCUAGUGAGACCCUGAGCAGGGGACCCAGCUAACCUGGACCUUGGCUCUCGACCUUUGGAAACUGCAAGGAUGCAGCCAGAAGACAGAAAGGGAGUCCUACACAUCAAAAGUGGAAGCGAAAACGUAGCAAUGACGUCCUUUGAACAGACACCCUAAUCAUCUUUCCGAGGCUGCGUGCCGGGUUGCCACGGGGCAUGUGUGUUAAGAAUGGCACCCUCUGCUGCUUCUGUUCCGGCAAGUCACAGCUUCAAAGCCCCUCCAUGUGCUCGUCAAGACCCAGUCUCACCAGGCAGAAGAAAGGACUCUUAAGGACUCCAGGAUGCUGUGUUCUAAGCUGGAAGCAGAGUCCUGCUGUCACAAAUGACAGCAUGAAUGGCCCGUCCUGACUGACGUGUGGCCCCACCGAAUCCCCCACACAGCCCCGUGAGACAAGUGGGUGUUUGCCUUACUUCACAGAUGAAGGAAAUGAACCUCACGAGGUUGUGAUCUCAUGGCUUCGUGGGUUUGAGCCCCAAGUCGGGCUCUGUGCUGACAGCAUGGA
Long non-coding RNA from Felis catus (domestic cat), 1733 nucleotides. RefSeq lists it as uncharacterized. The transcript is spliced from 4 exons. Lineage: Eukaryota; Metazoa; Chordata; Mammalia; Carnivora; Felidae. The record is from RefSeq and is a predicted model, not a curated record.